UACGUAGGGGGCAAGCGUUGUCCGGAUUUACUGGGCGUAAAGAGCGCGUAGGCGGAAACGCCAGUCCGGCUUGAAAGCCCCCGGCUCAACCGGGGAGAGUGGGCUGGAAACUGCGUUUCUUGAGGGCGAGAGAGGAGGGUGGAAUUCCUGGGUGUAGCGGUGAAAUGCGUAGAGAUCAGGAGGAACACCCGUGGCGAAGGCGGCCCUCUGGCUCGACCCGACGCUGAGGCGCGAAAGCGUGGGGAGCGAACGGG
RNAcentral lists this ribosomal RNA (254 nucleotides) under uncultured bacterium. RNAcentral's name for it is "partial 16S ribosomal RNA". It matches the Rfam family "Bacterial small subunit ribosomal RNA", at positions 524 to 776 of the family's 1533-position model. The record is from RNAcentral.